This 634-nucleotide ribosomal RNA is filed under the name Didymosphaeria futilis. RNAcentral's name for it is "LSU rRNA". It matches the Rfam family "Eukaryotic large subunit ribosomal RNA", at positions 38 to 687 of the family's 3401-position model. The record is from RNAcentral. Lineage: Eukaryota; Fungi; Ascomycota; Dothideomycetes; Pleosporales; Didymosphaeriaceae.
GCAUAUCAAUAAGCGGAGGAAAAGAAACCAACAGGGAUUGCCCUAGUAACGGCGAGUGAAGCGGCAUCAGCUCAAAUUUGAAAUCUGGCUCUUUCAGAGUCCGAGUUGUAAUUUGCAGAGGGCGCUUUGGUGUCGGCAGCGGUCCAAGUUCCUUGGAACAGGACGUCACAGAGGGUGAGAAUCCCGUACGUGGUCGCUGACCUACACCGUGUAAAGCCCCUUCGACGAGUCGAGUUGUUUGGGAAUGCAGCUCUAAAUGGGAGGUAAAUUUCUUCUAAAGCUAAAUACUGGCCAGAGACCGAUAGCGCACAAGUAGAGUGAUCGAAAGAUGAAAAGCACUUUGGAAAGAGAGUCAAACAGCACGUGAAAUUGUUGAAAGGGAAGCGCUUGCAGCCAGACUUGCUUGUAGUUGCUCAUCCGGGCUUUUGCCCGGUGCACUCUUCUGCGAGCAGGCCAGCAUCAGUUUGGACGGUUGGAUAAAGGCCUCUGUCACGUACCUUCUCUCGGGAAGGCCUUAUAGGGGAGGCGUCAUGCAACCAGUCUGGACUGAGGUCCGCGCAUCUGCUAGGAUGCUGGCGUAAUGGCUGUAAGCGGCCCGUCUUGAAACACGGACCAAGGAGUCUAACAUCUAUGC